GUUUAACUAGUUUAGUUUGUUUUAGUUUAACUAGUUUAGUUUGUUUUAGUUUAAUUAGUUUGUUUUAGUUUUCCCUCUUCAGAACCAGAUCUGGAUCUGUCUGGUUUUACCUGCUUAAUCCCUGAUCAUCUGUUUCUAUCAUCUCCAGAUUAUCUGCAGCUUUAGGAUCUAAUCUGAUCUUCUGGCUGGAUCUUUUUCUCCAUCAGUCCUUUAGCUGGUCCGACCAGGUUCUGGUUCCGGUUCUAUUCUGCUGGUUACCUCCUGAUGGACCUUUAAUCUCCGCAGCCGACAGCAGGAGCUCAGGAAAUAGAUUCACUGCAGGAGGAACUUCCUGAAACAAAGAUCUACGGUCGGAUCAGAACCAGGAGGAGGGGCCUCAUCAUCAUCAUCAUCAUCAUCAUCAUGUCAGAUUAUCGGUGAAUCACGACUAAAACACCAAACAUCAUUUAUUUAAACUCAUGUUGUCACAACACACAGCUGUUCUUAGCCCCGCCCCCUCCUGCUCACUGUCGUCACGGAGACGCACUCAGUAAACACAGCAGGACGACUCACUUGUGGGAACCUGCACACACACACACACACACACACACACACACACACACACACA
This is a long non-coding RNA of Poecilia latipinna (sailfin molly), 607 nucleotides long. RefSeq lists it as uncharacterized. NCBI's taxonomy places the organism in Eukaryota, Metazoa, Chordata, Actinopteri, Cyprinodontiformes, Poeciliidae. The record is from RefSeq and is a predicted model, not a curated record. The transcript is spliced from 2 exons.